RNAcentral lists this ribosomal RNA (400 nucleotides) under uncultured Strombidiidae. Its description in RNAcentral is "partial small subunit ribosomal RNA". It matches the Rfam family "Eukaryotic small subunit ribosomal RNA", at positions 30 to 432 of the family's 1831-position model. Lineage: Eukaryota; Ciliophora; Spirotrichea; Strombidiidae. The record is from RNAcentral.
GCUUGUCUCAAAGAUUAAGCCAUGCAUGUCUAAGUAUAAAUGGUAUACAGUGAAACUGCGAAUGGCUCAUUAAAACAGUUAUAGUUUAUUUGGUAUUCGAAUUUACAUGGAUAACCGUGGUAAUUCUAGAGCUAAUACAUGCUGGCGUGCCCGACUUUUGUGGAAGGGCGGUAUUUAUUAGAUAACAAGCCAAUAUUCCUCACGGUCUAUUGUGGUGACUCAUAAUAACUGAUCGAAUCGCAAGGCCCUUGGCCGCGAUAAGUCAUUCAAGUUUCUGCCCCAUCAGCUUUCGAUGGUAGUGUAUUGGACUACCAUGGCGUUCACGGGUAACGGAGAAUUAGGGUUCGAUUCCGGAGAGGGAGCCUGAGAAACGGCUACCACAUCUAAGGAAGGCAGCAGG